Molecule: ribosomal RNA, 468 nt
Filed under: uncultured bacterium
Lineage: Bacteria
Description: partial 16S ribosomal RNA
Rfam family: Bacterial small subunit ribosomal RNA
Source: RNAcentral
GACGAACGCUGGCGGCGUGCUUAACACAUGCAAGUCGAACGGAAAGGCCCUGCUUUUGUGGGGUGCUCGAGUGGCGAACGGGUGAGUAACACGUGAGUAACCUGCCCUUGACUUUGGGAUAACUUCAGGAAACUGGGGCUAAUACCGGAUAGGAGCUCCUGCUGCAUGGUGGGGGUUGGAAAGUUUCGGCGGUUGGGGAUGGACUCGCGGCUUAUCAGCUUGUUGGUGGGGUAGUGGCUUACCAAGGCUUUGACGGGUAGCCGGCCUGAGAGGGUGACCGGCCACAUUGGGACUGAGAUACGGCCCAGACUCCUACGGGAGGCAGCAGUGGGGAAUAUUGCACAAUGGGCGGAAGCCUGAAGCAGCAACGCCGCGUGCGGGAUGACGGCCUUCGGGUUGUAAACCGCUUUCGCCUGUGACGAAGCGUGAGUGACGGUAAUGGGUAAAGAAGCACCGGCUAGCUACGUG